Molecule: ribosomal RNA, 253 nt
Filed under: uncultured bacterium
Lineage: Bacteria
Description: partial 16S ribosomal RNA
Rfam family: Bacterial small subunit ribosomal RNA
Source: RNAcentral
AACGUAGGAGACAAACGUUAUCCGGAGUUACUGGGCGUAAAGGGCGUGCAGGUGGUCUGUUAAGUCUGGCGUGAAAGCUCUCGGCUAAACCGGGAGAGGUCGUUGGAUACUGGCGGACUAGAGGACGGUAGAGGCGUGUGGAAUUCCGGGGGUAGUGGUGAAAUGCGUAGAGAUCCGGAGGAACACCAGUGGCGAAGGCGACACGCUGGGCCGUACCUGACACUAAAACGCGACAGCAUGGGGAGCGAACGGG